GAACAGAAAUCUCUUGUAGACCAAAAGGGGAAAAGCUCACUUGAUUUUGAUAUCCAGUACAUAUACAAACCGUGAAAGCGUGGCCUAUCGAUCCUUUAACUUUACAAGUAUUAAGCUAGAGGUGUCAGAAAAGUUACCACAGGGAUAACUGGCUUGUGGCUGCCAAGCGCUCAUAGCGACGUAGCUUUUUGAUCCUUCGAUGUCGGCUCUUCCUAUCAUUGUGAAGCAGAAUUCACAACGUGUCGGAUUGUUCACCCGUUAAUAGGGAACGUGAGCUGGGUUUAGACCGUCGUGAGACAGGUUAGUUUUACCCUACUGAUGAAUUGAUGUUGCGACAGUAGUCUAACCUAGUACGAGAGGAACAGUUAGAUCAGAUACUUGGUUAAUACGGUUAGCUGAACAGCUAAUGCCGUGACGCUACCAUCUGUCGGAUUAUGACUGAAAAGCCUCUAAGUCAGAAUCCGUGCUGGAAAGCAACUUCUAGUAGUA
This 489-nucleotide ribosomal RNA is filed under the name uncultured eukaryote. RNAcentral describes it as "eukaryotic LSU rRNA". It matches the Rfam family "Eukaryotic large subunit ribosomal RNA", at positions 2681 to 3169 of the family's 3401-position model. The record is from RNAcentral.